CGGGUGAGUAACACGUAUCCAACCUGCCGUCUACUCUUGGACAGCCUUCUGAAAGGAAAGAUUAAUACAAGAUGGCAUCAUGAGUCCGCAUGUUCACAUGAUUAAAGGUAUUCCGGUAGACGAUGGGGAUGCGUUCCAUUAGAUAGUAGGCGGGGUAACGGCCCACCUAGUCUUCGAUGGAUAGGGGUUCUGAGAGGAAGGUCUCCCACAUUGGAACUGAGACACGGUCCAA
This 232-nucleotide ribosomal RNA is filed under the name uncultured bacterium. Its description in RNAcentral is "partial 16S ribosomal RNA". It matches the Rfam family "Bacterial small subunit ribosomal RNA", at positions 103 to 334 of the family's 1533-position model. The record is from RNAcentral.